This is a long non-coding RNA of Zalophus californianus (California sea lion), 1526 nucleotides long. RefSeq lists it as uncharacterized. The transcript has 3 exons. NCBI's taxonomy places the organism in Eukaryota, Metazoa, Chordata, Mammalia, Carnivora, Otariidae. The record is from RefSeq and is a predicted model, not a curated record.
GCCAUGCUCCUUCCUGCUGGAAUGAAUUGUUUGCUGGCCUUUUCUGAGAUUCCCAAGGGCUUACACGCCCUGCCCUGCCCAGACCCACACUUACUGUUGCUGUCCCCUCCAAGCGCCAGCCCGUGGGACCUCUCUUCCGCACAUGGGAUGCAUGCAGGUCUGCUGGCCCGGUUUCUGCUCAGGAUGGCGUCUUCCUCUUGUGGGGACACACUGAACAGAUGCUGAGGUAUCUGAGGAGAGAGGUUGGGUGACGGGCUGAGGAUGGGCCAUCCUGUCCAGCUGCUGGUGGACAAGGCUCAGGCCCUUGACAACUGGCCAAGCCAUCCAAAUACUGCAAAGAAGGCAGCGUGCAGGUCUGCCUCAGGUCUCCCCUCCCUCCACCUGAAGAGGAGGGCCACGUGCCCUGGUUCCAGGUGGCUUCACUGGAAGACUUACCUUUUACUACCACACUGAAGGGCCUCUCUUGAUUUGGGCAACAAUGCAGCCGCAAUCCUAUUCUGUGAAUAGGAAACUCAAGCCUGAGUUCAGUGAGGCAGAGGGCGCCCCGGAGGAGGCUAUGGUAUGGAUCGAGGGAGAGGCAGCAGUGCAGCAGAAAGAAGCGAAGUGAGAGUCUUGGUAGCUCUUUUUAUAAUUUACUGCAUCUUUCUGGAUCUGCUAAAGGCUACAUCCAAAUAUAUCACUUCCAUUGCAUGAAAGGCUGCUGGUGUGGAUGUCCAAACUUAUGUCUUUGUAGGUUAGGUAACAACACAGCUUGCACUGGGAAAUCAGAUUGCGGGGGAAUGGGCUGUCCUGUGGUCGGCUGCUGAGUCCCAGUCAGAGUUCAGUAUUAUGCCAGGAGCUGCUUUUCAAACAGUAUGGAUCUCUACCAUAGUGCAUGGCCUUGUUCUAGAAUCCGCCGGCUCUGUGCUGUGACCUUUCUAUUGAGGACUGCAUAUUCCUAUCCAGCACAGAUAUACCUAAAGCACCUUUUGACCUGUUGGUCACAUGGCCCAAGAAACAGAGUGCUUGGAACCACGAGUUGAACUUGUUGCCUAUUCAAAACUGGUGGUUUUCUGAGUCAUCAGAGAAAUGGGACUAUGUUGCCUUCAAAACCCAAAGAAACUCCCAGGCAUUAUGCCUCUGUCCUAGUGAUGUAAGAUGCAAGGUGCAGCGAUUUGUUCUUUGCCUUUGGGGGGAUGUCCCCACAUAUCCCAGACAAGUGGAACUCUAUAAAACUCACCAAUCUGGUGUGCUUCUGCGUCUUUGUGGAGCCCAUCUCCCACUUUCUCCCAUGCACAUGUCUCAGGGCACUUGGGAUAGUUAUCAGUUCCUGUUCAGUUCCAAACAGCAUGAUGUCACCAAUACAGGGGAUCAGUGUGAUGUUCUGCUAUGUCAUGACAGAGAGCAAGAGAGUUAACAUAGCCCCGAGGCAAGACAGUGAGUGUGUACUGCUGUCUCUGUUAAUUAGCAUAAAUGUCCCCUGACUCCUGCAGCUAAUAGGUUGGCAGGCACCGUGUUGAUCCGCCUCAAAUAAAGAUCUGUAUUCA